Molecule: long non-coding RNA, 1917 nt
Organism: Cyanistes caeruleus (blue tit)
Lineage: Eukaryota; Metazoa; Chordata; Aves; Passeriformes; Paridae
Source: Ensembl
CUGAGUUGAGGCUCUAAACACAAACACCAUUAGCAGCAGUAGGCUCUGUGCACUUAACUCCCUGCCCUGCUCUAAACGCAGUAGCCCCAGCAGCAAACAUCCCUCCCUCCAUCCUCUCAGUGCUUAGCCAGAGGAGCUGCACCCCCUGCCAUCACCCCCGUGGCACUCCGUGUAAAUCUCAUCCACUCCCUUUUCCAUUUGGCUGGUUGGGGAGUUUAUUCAUCAUUCAAACCUUUCCUUUCACACGUUGUUGCAAAGGUAGGGAUUUAUUUGGGCAUGAAUUUACUGCCCUUGCCAGUGACAAGGAGGUGUUGCUGUGAUGCUGACACAGCCAUGGAGCUGCAGAAACACCAUUCUGGGCACUGCAGCGAGGGAAGGUGUUCAGGGCAGGUGUAAAAGUGGGCCAGGCAUGACAUAAAAUAGAGGAGGACAAGUGUGCUCUGCUUCCAGAGGCUGGGGGAAGAUGCUGAGCAGGAGCUGUAGCAGGACAUCACGGGGGGUGGAGGGAGCCAGAGAAACAUCUAGCGUUGGUGCCCUCUGUGCAGUGAGCUCACAGCCCGUUGGGAUUGGCCAGGAACUGGGUCAGGAUGCAGCAGGAUGAAGGAAACAGAACCUGAAGCCCUUGAGCAAGGCCCCUUCCCCCCCUGCUGAGCUUGUGCUGAUGCUCUCAGGCUCUUCCCUGCUCCAGCACCCUCCCACCAGCCCCUCGGAGAGCUGGAUGCUCCUGCAAGCCCAGCCUGGUGAGUGAGGGCACACAGGCACAGUGGAUCCAGCCUCAAAGCACUGAAUGCUGCAGCCAGACACGAAGCUCAGCUGUGAGGAUGAAGAAGGGAGCUUGGAACACCCAGGCUACUGAAGAGAUGCAUCAGCGCCUGCUCCCAGCUGUAGGAGCAGGAAGGAGUGCUGGGAGCUCCCUCCCCACAAAGUGCAGAGAGGUCUCAUCCUUGCUGGAUCCUUCCCCUGCUGCUGUGUUGGCUCCAUGUGUAAAGGGCUUGGCAAAGGAGGAUAUCAGGGAGAGCUCGUGGAAACCCAGCCUGUUCAGCACUGCAGGGUUUGCAGGCUCCAGGAGAGAGAGAACCUCGCUGGUGCUGACACGGCAACAAAACCGGUGUGUCUGCAAGAGAGGAGUCAGCAGCAGCUGCGCCCCUGCGAAAAUGCUCGCCGUGAUGGAUGCUCUGCCCAGAGUCUGCUAAUCUCUUUUCCUCUAACUCCGAGGCCUCCUUAAUUGUGCUGCCUGUGAUUAAACAACUCAGUGAAGGCAGUGCUGGGAGAUGUUUACUCCACAUGGGGAUGUCGCUGGCCAGGCUCGGAGCACGCGGAGCGUGUUUCACAAAGGGGAUGGGAACAGCGGUGUCUGGGCUGCUCUGGUGACCCUAGAAAGGAGCUGGGGAGACCCCCGGGAGGGUUUGGUGGAGAUCCACCUGGAUGAUCCCAAGAUAGACAAACUCCCACGGGGCUUUCCUGGUGGUGCUUUCUCCUGCAGCCCUCCGGGAAGCACAUGGAUAUGGGGAGGAGUGCUGUGCUUGAGGCGAGCUGUUCAAUCUGACCAUGUCCCCGUGGGCUGAGGGCAGCUUGGCAUUGUUCUCCAGCCCCAAGAGCUGCCCUCAGACGCUUUCUGAAGGAUGCUGAAGCCUUGGUCUGCAGGAGAAACGCAAAAACAGCCCCAGGAGGACUUUGAGAUCAUCUGAGGCACUUUGUCAAAGGACAGAUUAGAAGGGAGUUUAGAAUGAUGGCAGGGAACGGAUCUUAAAUCCCAUCUGGUUCCACCCCUUGCCAUGGGCAGGGACACCUUCUACCAGAUCAGGUUGCUCCAAGUCCUGUCCAGCCAAGGGCAGGAUCCUAGCCCCAGGCUGACACAGUCUGUCCCAUUCCUGGCCACCCUGGAGCUCAUUCCCAGGUUCCUGGAGGUGGAGGAGC